GGGGGUCGGGGUGGAGGUUAGAUCUUCCAGCUUCCCAAACAAAUGCAGCCGGCCCAAGAUGGCUUUCUUAAACUUACUGGGUUCUUUAAAUCUUGUAACGCACCUUUCUGUCUUGAUUUCUCCAAUAGCAACUGAUAUCGCUAGUUAUUAUAAUUAUCAGAUAACCGAUGUCAUGCCUCCUCUAUUCAGCAAAUAUUAAUAAUGAGUGUUCUAUCUACACUGUUCCUUAUUAGCCACGAUGGGGCUCUCAGACACGGACAACAUUCUCUCUACCUUCCAAGGAAAUUAAUGUAGAGAAGGAAAGACAAAUACCACAGGCAGAGGUCACAAACUAUCCUAAUCCACCAUGUUGGAGGAAUCUCUAGGAAUGAUAAGAAACUAGCACAUGCUGCCAUCUGAAUGUCAGAAGAAAGUCCCUCCUCCCCCUCCUCUUCCACAGCCCCCCCCUUCUUCCAGUGGAGGCUUCAGAAAGGAGACAUAUGACUUGAAGGGUGUACUUAGGAGGGAUUAGCUGGGUAAACACGGGGAGAAGGCCCUUUCCAGAUUGGGAAUGGAGUAGGAGAGACCUGAAGUGAGCAAUGGCAUGAUUAAGUUCUGUGUGGAGUUUAUGAAGGCCACUCCAUGGUCUCACGGCAUUUCAAGAGUAUGAAGGAGAAGAUGUCAACAGAUCCUUCGCUGUCAUAUAAUUCAAAGCUUCGAUGGGCUGGGAUCCAAUGGACCCAACCCAAACAGGAAACUGGAUUUCUUGUUGUUUAUCUGGAUCCAUGAACCAGAAAAUGUUGGACAUCUGUUUUCAGUGCUUCAUUGAGCUGGAACUGAAUUGAAACAUGACUCCUUCCAAUGGUGCCUUUUCCAUGGAAUGAUUUAGGAGCUUCGACUGUUAGACCAAGGAACUCAUUCUCAUCCCUAAGUCAGGAGACCAACGGAUGCCCAAGGGAAUUGGGCCCAUCAAUCAGGAAUUGAACUUGGGUUUGCUCAACUACCCAUCUAGCACUAUGGGAACAAAGGCCUAGACCAUCAAAAUGUGAGUGAUACGUUCUUCUAUGUCACAUUAUCACACCCACAAUAGCUGCAAAAGACACUUGACACAAACUGAGGUGCAAAUAUAAUUUAUCCACACACAAUUUGUUAUUACAGACAGUAGAAAAAAAUACAAGUGUUCCCUAAGAAUUCUCACUUGAU
Molecule: long non-coding RNA, 1182 nt
Organism: Fukomys damarensis (Damara mole-rat)
Lineage: Eukaryota; Metazoa; Chordata; Mammalia; Rodentia; Bathyergidae
Exons: 4
Source: RefSeq, a predicted model, not a curated record